Molecule: ribosomal RNA, 406 nt
Filed under: uncultured bacterium
Lineage: Bacteria
Description: partial 16S ribosomal RNA
Rfam family: Bacterial small subunit ribosomal RNA
Source: RNAcentral
AUUGAACGCUGGCGGCAGGCCUAACACAUGCAAGUCGAACGAGUGGCGGACGGGUGAGUAAUGUCUGGGAAACUGCCCGAUGGAGGGGGAUAACUACUGGAAACGGUAGCUAAUACCGCAUACCAUCGGAUGUGCCCAGAUGGGAUUAGCUUGUAGGUGAGGUAACGGCUCACCUAGGCGACGAUCCCUAGCUGGUCUGAGAGGAUGACCAGCGACACUUGAACUGGGAAACGGUCCCGACUCCUACGGGAGGCAGCAGUGGGGAAUAUUGCACAAUGGGCGAAAGUCUGAUGCAGCCAUGCCGCGUGUAUGAAGCAGGUCUUCGGGUUGUAAAGUACUUUCCGCGGGGAGGCGUUACCCGCAGAAGAAGCACCGGCUAACUCCGUGCCAGCAGCCGCGGUAAUAC